UUGUGUCUGUCGGGAUUAUCUCUUGUAUCUCCUGUUGUGGUUGUGUUUGUUUAUCUUUUAUUUGAUGGGUAAUAUGUAAACAAAAAUCAUUAUUAGAUGUAUUUAUCAGAGUUCAUAACUUACUCUGCUUUUUUGUUCAGGUAAUUUCACUGAUCUUGGUUGUCGUCUUCGUCUUCUUCGUUGCGAAAGUAAGUUUGUAAAUUGUUACAUAGCUGGCCGUGAAGUUUGUAUUUGUUUAGCUGACUCGAUUUAUGUGUCGUUGAGUAUUAGUUGAGGUGAUUGGUUUGAUAUAUUUAUUUUGAAGUUUAUUUUUAAGAUUAGACAAAAAAGAGAGGUGAUUAUUAAUGAUUCGUCUUUUUUGGAAUUCUAGUUUUUGGUGUUUUGAUUGUUUGGGUUGUUAUGGUUUCUUUAAGCUGUAAAAUAAAAGUUUGUGUAAAAUUAGUUUGAUAA
Molecule: long non-coding RNA, 450 nt
Filed under: Brassica napus (rape)
Lineage: Eukaryota; Viridiplantae; Streptophyta; Magnoliopsida; Brassicales; Brassicaceae
Description: long non-coding RNA (BNAP_LNC005878)
Source: RNAcentral